UAACUGGGCGUAAGGGCACGCAGGCGGUGACUUAAGUGAGGUGUGAAAGCCCCGGGCUUAACCUGGGAAUUGCAUUUCAUACUGGGUCGCUAGAGUACUUUAGGGAGGGGUAGAAUUCCACGUGUAGCGGUGAAAUGCGUAGAGAUGUGGAGGAAUACCGAAGGCGAAGGCAGCCCCUUGGGAAUGUACUGACGCUCAUGUGCGAAAGCGUGGGGAGCAAACAGGAUUAGAUACCCUGGUAGUCCACGCUGUAAACGAUGUCGAUUUGGGGGUUGAGCUUUGAGCUUGGCGCCCGUAGCUAACGUGAUAAAUCGACCGCCUGGGGAGUACGGCCGCAAGGUUAAAACUCAAAUGAAUUGACGGGGGCCCGCACAAGCGGUGGAGCAUGUGGUUUAAUUCGAUGCAACGCGAAGAACCUUACCUACUCUUGACAUCCAGAGAACUUUCCAGAGAUGGAUUGGUGCCUUCGGGAGCUCUGAGACAGGUGCUGCAUGGCUGUCGUCAGCUCGUGUCGUGAG
This 518-nucleotide ribosomal RNA is filed under the name uncultured bacterium. RNAcentral describes it as "bacterial SSU rRNA". It matches the Rfam family "Bacterial small subunit ribosomal RNA", at positions 551 to 1071 of the family's 1533-position model. The record is from RNAcentral.